UAACCUGCCUGGUAGCGGGGGAUAACUAUUGGAAACGAUAGCUAAUACCGCAUAACAGUAGAUGUUGCAUGACAUUUGCUUAAAAGGUGCAAUUGCAUCACUACCAGAUGGACCUGCGUUGUAUUAGCUAGUUGGUGGGGUAACGGCUCACCAAGGCGACGAUACAUAGCCGACCUGAGAGGGUGAUCGGCCACACUGGGACUGAGACACGGCCCAG
Molecule: ribosomal RNA, 217 nt
Filed under: uncultured bacterium
Lineage: Bacteria
Description: partial 16S ribosomal RNA
Rfam family: Bacterial small subunit ribosomal RNA
Source: RNAcentral